Molecule: ribosomal RNA, 494 nt
Filed under: uncultured bacterium
Lineage: Bacteria
Description: partial 16S ribosomal RNA
Rfam family: Bacterial small subunit ribosomal RNA
Source: RNAcentral
GACGAACGCUGGCGGCGUGCUUGACACAUGCAAGUCGAACGGAAAGGCCUGCUUUCCCUUGUGGAUUGCGGGUACUCGCGUGGCGAACGGGUGAGUAACACGUGAGUGAUCUGCCCCCAACUUGGGUAUAAGCCUGGGAAACUGGGUCUAAUUCCCGAUAGGACUGCAGGGUGGUGCCCGUGGUGGAAAACGAUUUUCUAGUGGUUGGGGAUGAGCUCGCGGCCUAUCAGCUUGUUGGUGGGGUAAUGGCCUACCAAGGCGGCGACGGGUAGCCGGCCUGGGAGGGUGGACGGCAACAGUGGGACUGAGAUACGGCCCAGACUCCUACGGGAGGCAGCAGUGGGGAAUAGGGCACAAGGGGCGGAAGCCUGAUGCAGCGACGCCGCGUGGGGGAUGACGGCCUUCGGGUUGUAAACUCCUUUCGACCGCGAGGAAGCCACCUGGUUGGAAGGGUGGUGACGGUAGUGGUAGAAGAAGCACCGGCUAACUACGUG